UUUUUGAAUUUUUUUUAAAGUCUAGCCUGCCCACUGAAUUUUUUUAAAUGGCCGCAGUAUACUAACUGUGCAAAGGUAGCAUAAUCAUUAGUCUUUUAAUUGAAGGCUGGUAUGAAUGGUUGGACGAGAUAUUAACUGUUUCAUAAAAAUUUAUAAUAGAAUUUUAUUUUUUAGUCAAAAAGCUAAAAUAUAUUUAAAAGACGAGAAGACCCUAUAAAUCUUUAUAUUUAGAUUAUUAUAAUUUUAUAGAUUUUUUUUGUUAUAAUAAUUGAUAAUAUUUUAUUGGGGUGAUAUUAAAAUUUGAUAAACUUUUAAUUGUUUAAAUCAUUAAUUUAUGAAUAAUUGAUCCGUUAUUAGCGAUUAAAAAAAUAAGUUACUUUAGGGAUAACAGCGUAAUUUUUUUGGAGAGUUCAUAUCGAUAAAAAAGAUUGCGACCUCGAUGUUGGAUUAAGAUAUAAUUUUAGGUGUAGCCGCUUAAAUUUUAAGUCUGUUCGACUUUUAAAUUCUUACAUGAUCUGAGUUCAAACCGGCGUAAGCCAGGUUGGUUUCUAUCUUUAAAAAAUUAAAAUAUUUCAGUACGAAAGGACCUAAUAUUUGAUAAAUUAUUAUUUUUUAUAUUGAAUAUAAUUAAUAUAAAUACUAUUUUGG
RNAcentral lists this ribosomal RNA (648 nucleotides) under Paralucilia fulvinota. RNAcentral's name for it is "partial large subunit ribosomal RNA". The stretch from base 196 to 556 matches the Rfam family "Bacterial large subunit ribosomal RNA", at positions 2075 to 2645 of the family's 2925-position model. The record is from RNAcentral. Lineage: Eukaryota; Metazoa; Arthropoda; Insecta; Diptera; Calliphoridae.